Molecule: long non-coding RNA, 3900 nt
Organism: Leopardus geoffroyi (Geoffroy's cat)
Lineage: Eukaryota; Metazoa; Chordata; Mammalia; Carnivora; Felidae
Exons: 2
Source: RefSeq, a predicted model, not a curated record
UAAUUAGGGCGUAAGAAAUUUAAUCUUUCCAGCAUGCAGGUCAUAUAAUUAAUGUUAAUUUAACGCUCAAAUUCUCAGUCAUUAAUUUUUAUUCUCUUAAAUGCAGUUUGGCAGGGGCCCCUGAUCCAUGGCAAUGGAUUUUACUGGAUGUGAAAGCACACUUGGUCUUAGGAGUGACUCACCGUAGACCUUCCCAUCCCAAUAACAAGAUCACAUCAUGUAUGCAUUAUUAAGCCACAUAAUUGAACGGUCCAUAGUUUGCAUAUCAGACUAUUAAAAUAAUGUGUUUUGCUUUUCUCUGAACACGUAUUGUUCAAGCCUCUGCGAAUAUGUGGCGAUUCUGAUAAUUAUCACCAAAUUACUGCAAAUGUUCUCUUCAUUAACAUGAUUUCUUUCAAGCAUUUUUAAAAAUGUGAAUGUUAUUAUGAAUUAAGAAACUUCUUACAAAGUUGUGUGAAGUGUGUGUGUGUGCGUGUGCGUGUGUGUGUGUGUGUGUGUGUGUGUUUUAAGGGACUUGUCACUGGGAAGGAAAGGAUAUAUUUUAAAUGGAGGAGGGAGAAAAAUGCUUUUGACUAAGUCUUUCAAGUGGCUUCCUUUGGUCAAAUAAAAGUUUUCUCUCUAGUUUUUUGGGCAGCGUCUAGGCAAGAGACAAACAGAGAAAAUAGAAAAAAAGAGGGAGAAAAGAGGGAGGGAGGAGAGAGAAUUUGAAAGUCACAGGAGAGUAAGAGAAUUAAUUUUUUUAAGUCCCUACUAUCUUGUCCCCAUCUGGUGUGGAUAACUUGUCCCCACAAAUAACCUCCUAACUUUUUACCUGACCUAGAGUAAACUAAUAUCCUCCCUUUUUAAAAUACCAACUCAAAUUUUUCUAAAGAUAACAGCUCACAAUUAACUAAAUAUUGCUGUCGUCCCCUAGCUAUUCUGAGCUAUACUGUUGGGAGAAAUUAUAAGCCGUAAAGAGCCUUUAUUGUAACCUCUCCACCACACACAGUUUCUAAAGUUGAAUAGCAAACAUUAAAACAGACACACACUACUGCAAAAUAAGAGUCUCUUCUAAAUGUGAGAAAUUUUCAUCCACCCCCCAUUUCUAGUGAAAUUUCCCUUUGAGUGAUUUUUAAACUUAUAACAAACAGGUCUUUCUGCCGCUGGUAUUGUCGCUCCUUCCCGGCACAGCGUCGCGCAGCGCGCGGGUCGCUCUCCUCCGACGGCGCUUCCAACACCGAAAAGCUGCCAUCAGCCCCGGUGAAGAGGGAGUUUCACCCACUGAUAAUGUCACAAGAGUUUGAGGUUGUAAGGUUUUUCCUAAAUAAAAGACGUCACCUCGGGUGGGAGUGAGGGGGGGGGAGAGAGAGAGAGAGAGAGAGAGAGAGAGAGAGAAUGAGAGAGAGUGUGUAAUAGAGAGAGAGAGAGAGAGAGAGAGAGAGAGAGAGAAGGAGAGAUGGCAAGCACUGAGUUAAAUACCUGGCAAAACUAAAUAAAUUACCAAAAAGAAAAAAAAAAAUCCACCAAACCGUGAUAAACACAAAACAGCUUCCUGAUGCUCGGAGUUGGCACAUGCUCUGCUGUGUUGAUUUAAUGUGGAUCCUCAUCAGGAAGGAGGAAAAAAUACACAUGUUCUUUGAUGUAGUCAAAAUUUAACGGCAUAAAUUUGCACUGCAAGAAAAUUGAAGUUUACACCAACAAAUUCAUUGAACGUAUUUUUCUUUCUCCCACGGUUAAUUUUGAAAUUGCCGGGUUUUGUUUUGUUUUGUUUUGUUGUUUUAUUCAGCAGGGAGAGUUGAAGCCAGCUCUUGGCUACUCUCCAUUUCUAGCGUUCUUGUGUUGCCCCUUGUUCUUCUUCCUGUUUGUGAACUUUGGUUACCUUCAGGCUCCCCCCAACAUUGGUGUAACAUUUAGUUGCUUCUUUUACCAAAGCAAAAACGAUUGGCUUCAUACAAAAUAAAUAAUUCUCUGCUUUCAGGAAAUGUGCAUGGUCUACCCGCUUUAUCCAAGGCAAGAGUCCAGUUUGGAAUACAAAAAUGAGUCAAGCAUUGGUUUUUUUGUGACCAGCCACAAAGUAAACUUCAUUUUCAGGCAGUGUUUCUGGGGGAGGUUGUGGAGGGGAGAAAAAGAAAAAUCGAUAGUGAGUGACUGAUUGCUUCAUUUUAUCAGGCGGGCCCAUUGUGAAAGAGCUCAGAGGAAAUGUGGAGGUUAUAAAUGUAUUUCCAGAGUCGUCCAACAGAAAGUGGCACUUUGAAGAGAACUAGGGAAAUAUAUAUCUUCAGAAACCCCUGUAUAGUUCUCUGCCUUCAGUUUUAAUAACUUAAUUAUGAGGAAUUAUUUGUGCUGAGAGCAGCAGUUAAACUUUGUCCCUCUAAUAGCUUUUUUUUUUUUUUAACAUAAAGAAAAUAAUCUGGGAACUUAAUGGUGUAUGCAGAGACUUUUUUUUACUGCACAAAUACCCAUAUGCAUACAGAGGAUAUCUCCACUCUAGGCUGGUUUUGUCUUCACUAGCUCAUUUGUUUAUCAAAUCAAAUUUAAGGUCCCACACCUUCUUCUCCUAUAAUUUAUCACAGAAAAUACCAGUUUAACCUAGACAGCUUUCCCCCCUUCUUUCACUAAGGAAGCCAAAUGAACUGGGGGAAAAAAUGCUAUUUUCUAUCCUUCCUUUUCUCCCUUUGUUAAUAGUUUUAAGUGCGCUUUUACCUUAUCUUGAUGGAAAAUGGUUAACUCCCAUAACAAAAGACUCUACUGGGAAGUGUAGGUGAAAAAACUUCUAACUAUUGAAAAUAAAUACCAUUAAACUGUGACCAGUUAAAAUAUUUUAAAAAAAUAAUCAGCACAAAAGGGCGCUAAAAGGGAAAACACUUUUUAUUAAUCUUAAAAGUUUGGGGCUUUUUUUUUUCUGGUUAAGUAUUAGGCAAAUCUUUAUUUAAAAAAUUAAAUUCUCAAUACCAUAAAAUUAUGGUUCAGCAUCAGAUUAGCAUUGCACUCAGUAGUUAAGGUUUUAGGAAAUAUGCUUUAUAUUGUCUUUUCAAACACCUGUGAUUGUUUCAUUUUCAAUGUUUUUGCAAGAUAAAUGAUGACUUAGAAUGGGCAUAUUUAUUUGCCUGUAUUUCAUUUCCCCCAACGAAUGUCACGAGGAGAUGGACACAGAGCUGCUGCUUCGGGCUGUAUCACACUGCUUGUUCCUGAGGUGUGGGGACUGGCCUCUAGUGAAGCAAUCCAGAGCAGGGCAAAUAGCCAAUGGUUAAGGGAGGAAAUGAAUUUUCAGAUUCUUAUUACCAAGUGGGUAAGGUCAGACGCUGGAGUUCAGGGGACUUGUCUAUAGCUCCUCUAACUCUCUUGGGUUUACUAAGAAGAAAGUUACCACUGAACCUUACCACUAUGUAUAUAUGUUUAAUAUCUGUCUUUUGAAAUGCAGAAAUAGUUUAAAUGUUUCUUUGUCUAUUUUUCUUUUUUUUUUUUUAAUGCUACCCAGGGAAAUAUUUUCAUAUCAUUUUUAAGUGGCCUGCCUCAAUGUAUAUUUAUUUCUUUUAAAGCAAAAAGGUUCUGGAAACUGUUUUUCUGUAGCUUUAAAUGAGUAGAUGAGCAAAAUCUAUAUGGGAUGUAAUUUUUUUGUUCAGUCUCUUUAAAAAUACUUUGUUUUGGUACAUUUGGUUGUGCUUGUGGGGAAAAUAAAAACGCAGAGAUCCUUAUAUAUUUAUGUUAAAGUAAUAUUUUAUUAUCUACAUAAAACAGAAAUGCACAAUACCUUCAUAGUUUGUUCUAAUUAUUGAAAUAUCUUUAUUUUAUUUUUAAAGAUAGUGCCAAGUUUUAAGGGGGGGGAAACCCUAGACCUUAUACUGACUGAGUUGAGUUGUGUGUAAAAUACUUCCCUUCCUUUAUACUUCAUAAAGUUUUGGAAUAAAUUUUAUGCGUAUA